CUCUCAAUUCCACCCUCCCGUGUUCACCAUUGCUCAUCAGACUAAACAAGAAUGGAGCGUCUUUUCUCCCGGAAAAAAGGAUGGCUGUACCAGGCUUUGAAUAAGGCGGCCGAGAGCGACAUCAGGCGGCCCAAAAGACAUAAAUGGAAGACAUGCCUUUCCAAUAAUACCACAGAAUAUAUAAAAGGCUCAGAGAAUAAUCAUGGAGUGUAAAUGCUUGGAGGAAUGCAUUCCCAUGGAUGUCAUGAAAGUUCUGUUCUAGAAGACUGAAAUCAUACAAAGGCUAAAAGCAGUACCCCACACAAUACGAAAUUGCUUGUGACAAACUUGGAACAACAAAGAUUGUGGUGUACGAAUAACCAUGUGGCGUGUCCGUUGAACUCAAGAUUGUCAGGCCAACCUGAAUAUGUAGAAUCUCAGAUGUUAAUUAAAUAAAUAAUGUACAACAACAAAAAUAAUAAACCAAGUAAAAAUUAUAACUAAAAAUAGUAUUGAAUAUUGACAAUAAUAUGUGCAAGUGUGAAAUACCAUGGAAGGAGUUACAAAAUUUCUACAAGUUAAAUAUUUCUAAAUAUAAAGGGACUUACUUGAGAGCCACGAUCGACAUUUAAAUCUUGCCCUUCCCCAAUGACCUCUGAUACUGGACGCGGUGGUAGACUGGGACUAAAAGCCAUGAGGU
Molecule: long non-coding RNA, 679 nt
Organism: Mastomys coucha (southern multimammate mouse)
Lineage: Eukaryota; Metazoa; Chordata; Mammalia; Rodentia; Muridae
Exons: 2
Source: RefSeq, a predicted model, not a curated record